CCCCUCCCUUCUCUUAGGGGCCAUCAAUAUAAUUAAUACCUCCAGCAAUCACCAAUAGGAUGUCUUACUAACAUAAUCGAGAUCUUGUUCUAGAACUCCCAUUGCUACUACAAUCAAUACUAGCAUACAAACCCAACAAAAGUCAAGACUGACUAUGUGGCUUUGAAAUAACUAUAACCAUCUGCUAAUUACAAUUACAAAAAGCAUCAAUUUGAAGUACACCCAACCUCCAAAUGUCAACGAUGCCCCUUGCCAAACUAUUGGAUUCAAUAGCAUGCAAAACCCAUGACCUCAACAAUCGCCACU
RNAcentral lists this long non-coding RNA (306 nucleotides) under Elaeis guineensis (African oil palm). Its description in RNAcentral is "long non-coding RNA (EGUI_LNC041875)". The record is from RNAcentral. Lineage: Eukaryota; Viridiplantae; Streptophyta; Magnoliopsida; Arecales; Arecaceae.